RNAcentral lists this ribosomal RNA (253 nucleotides) under uncultured bacterium. Its description in RNAcentral is "partial 16S ribosomal RNA". It matches the Rfam family "Bacterial small subunit ribosomal RNA", at positions 524 to 776 of the family's 1533-position model. The record is from RNAcentral. RNAcentral also lists the same sequence under 1 other name.
UACGGAGGAUCCAAGCGUUAUCCGGAUUUAUUGGGUUUAAAGGGUGCGCAGGCGGAAGAUUAAGUCGGCGGUGAAAUUUUGCAGCUCAACUGUAAAAGUGCCUUCGAAACUGGUUUUCUUGAGUGUGGAUGAAGUAGGCGGAAUUUGUGGUGUAGCGGUGAAAUGCAUAGAUAUCACGAGGAACUCCGAUUGCGAAGGCAGCUUACUAAGCCAUAACUGACGCUCAUGCACGAAGGCGUGGGGAUCAAACAGG